This 649-nucleotide long non-coding RNA is filed under the name Medicago truncatula (barrel medic). RNAcentral describes it as "long non-coding RNA (MTRU_LNC001614)". The record is from RNAcentral. Lineage: Eukaryota; Viridiplantae; Streptophyta; Magnoliopsida; Fabales; Fabaceae.
CCUUCAGAUCAGUUGGCAGUUCCUUCCACUGUUCCGGAUGUUGGGGAUAAUAAAAAGUCAAAAAAGAAAAAGAAGGGAAAGGAAAAAGAAACCUCCACUGAACUAGAUAAUGCUGCACAAGAUGAGCCAAAAAUGAACACGGCCCAGGAUCUCUUGGAUCAGGAAAUGCAUGAUAAUAUUGACAAAGAAACAGUUGAUGCUGGCAAAAAAGACGGCGAAGACCAUGAAAAUAGUGCUACUGAAACAAAUUUGGCAACUGACAAUGCUGUUGCAGAUAGUCAGACUUACAGGUUACUCUUCUCAGUUCAAUAUCAUUGUUCAAAUACACGCUUGCUUCCCUCUUGGAGAUUGUAAAUUUUUAAUUGUUUGCCUUUGUUUACAAAUUAUGUUUGUACUGUAGCAGGGAAGCUGGACCUUCUGAUCACUUGGUUGAUCCUUGCACUGUUCCGGAUGUUGGAGAUAUUAAAAAGUCAAAAAAGAAAAAGAAGGGAAAGGAAAAAGAAACCAAGAGUUCUAGUAAUGGCGAUUCCACCGAACUAGAUAAUGCUGAGCAAGAUGAGCCAAAAAUGAACAUGGCCCAGGAUCUCUUGGAUCAGGAAAUAGUUGAUAAUGUUGACAAAGAAGCAGUUGAUGAUGGCAAAAAAGACGG